AGCUUUGCGCAGUGGCAGUAUCGUAGCCAAUGAGGUUUAUCCAAGGCGCAAUUAUUGGUCAUUGAAAACCUUUCCCAA
This 78-nucleotide small nuclear RNA is filed under the name Cervus elaphus hippelaphus. It matches the Rfam family "U4 spliceosomal RNA", at positions 1 to 78 of the family's 138-position model. Rfam says of the family: U4 small nuclear RNA (U4 snRNA) is a component of the major U2-dependent spliceosome. The structure of U4 snRNA from yeast and human has been reported. The record is from RNAcentral. Lineage: Eukaryota; Metazoa; Chordata; Mammalia; Artiodactyla; Cervidae.